CUGUUGAAAAUGAAUUGAGCUAUUUGAAAAAACGAUAAUGUAAUAAACGUAUAGGUCUAAUUAAUUAUGCAUUAGUUAUAAGAGGAUCAAAAACACAUUAGAUGUUAUUUUCUGUAAAAUUUUUAGAAAAAUUAGCUGCUGACAUAUUAUUCGGAAACUCAGUUGGUUUGGUUUUUGAUUAGCAUCCUGUUUAUGCAUACUUGAACAUUUUUUUUUUAGCGAAGACCACCAUGUCACAGUCAGCUAACGAAUCGCCCACUGAAGAACCUUUAGACUGCAGCUAAAGGAUUGAAACCUCAGCUCUCAAUAAACGAACAUGAAGACGGCAGCCAAACGUGCUUCUGACUGGAAAUCACAGAUAAGUCUGUUUUAAUGAAAUGGUAACACUUUACAAUAAGGUUCAUUAGUUAACGUUAAUAAACUCAGUUAACGUGACCUAAGAAUACUGCAGCAAUUCUUACUUUUAUUCUUAGUUAAUGUUAAUUUCAUUAUUUUCUAAUGCAUUAUUAAAAUUACAAGCUGCGUUUGUUAACGUUAGUUAAAUGCACUGUGAACAAACAUGAAUAAGCAAUGAACAACUGUAUUUUUAUUAACUAACAAAGAUUAAUAAAGAGUAUGAUAAAUACAGUUUACAUUGUUAGUUCCUGUUAACUAAUACAUUAACUAAUGUUAACACAUGACACUUAUUUUAAAGUGUUACCAAUGAAACAAAUCUGCUUUUAUGACUAUUUAUCUAGAAAUAGGCAUGUGCUAUUACAAUCUUAGACAAUAUUACUUAUUAAAAGUGUUUGACUCCCACUGAUUCCAUCCAAAAAAUAAUGAUCUCACAUAUGAUUAUUUAUUUACAUUACAAUUUUAUUUGUCCGUCAUAUAUUUUUGAUUCGCAUGGGCUUUUAAUUGCUAGUCUUCGGUUCUACGUUAGACGGCGCUCACUUUUGUAGUCUGUGCUAGAUAAACACGAAUAUGGUAUGUAUAAGUAUUACUAAGGAAAUCUUUCAUUUCACAAAUGUUUUUUUGCUCUGUUAUUAAAAUUAAAGAAUAUUGUGAAUAUCGAUCAUUUUGUGUAACUACUGAAACUUUUAUUAUACGUAAUAAUGACAUAUUUACAUGGCUACACAUAGUCCGACUGUUAGCCUAUUAGCAUUUUUUGUAAAUCGAUGCGUUUUGCAUCUGCGAUUAAUCUAUAGAGUCUGUAAAUUGCGAAAAUCUUACAUUUAUUGCUAUUGUUAUCUAGCAUGAUUUAUUAUUUAGGGUGGUUGGCGUUUUUGGUUUCUCGUUCAUCCGUGACGAUCAUCAAAGCUUAACUAACGCCUAUAACGAGGCUUCCUGAAAAGUCGUGAAUAUAAGCUAUCGUUAUUACAAUAAACUGAUUUGUUUUUUGUUCACUUAAAAAGAGGAUUUUAACUGCUUUCAGGGCAGGAUCAUGACGAAAUAUAUAGUUUAAACAUUCUUUGAGAGGUCCAAAUCUUCAGUAUGAUGGUCAAACUUACACGUAUAAGACACAAACUGGAUUGAGGUCCUGCUAACAACUAUUUUAUUUGCAUUUGUUUUCAGGGUACAAUACAGGUACUCCCUCAUCAACCCUCAGUGGGUCAAAUUAAGAGCCCUAUCCAGUGUGAGGAGAAUCCUGAAGGAUUGGGUGGAGUGAUAAUAUUCGACCGGGAGACGUUCUCUAUGAACAAAAAACACUUGGUGCCAGCUCUUCCCUCUAAAGAUGAAAAACUCUGUCAGACCAGUUCUGUUGUUGCGGGAAGUGAAGACAAUGCCUCCCUUAAAUUUUAAAUAAAGGUAUUUUACAGUGA
This is a long non-coding RNA of Puntigrus tetrazona (Sumatra barb), 1802 nucleotides long. RefSeq lists it as uncharacterized. The record is from RefSeq and is a predicted model, not a curated record. The transcript is spliced from 4 exons. NCBI's taxonomy places the organism in Eukaryota, Metazoa, Chordata, Actinopteri, Cypriniformes, Cyprinidae.